RNAcentral lists this ribosomal RNA (1402 nucleotides) under bacterium. Its description in RNAcentral is "bacterial SSU rRNA". It matches the Rfam family "Bacterial small subunit ribosomal RNA". The record is from RNAcentral.
CGAGCGGUAGCACAGAGAGCUUGCUCUCGGGUGACGAGCGGCGGACGGGUGAGUAAUGUCUGGGAAACUGCCUGAUGGAGGGGGAUAACUACUGGAAACGGUAGCUAAUACCGCAUAACGUCGCAAGACCAAAGUGGGGGACCUUCGGGCCUCAUGCCAUCAGAUGUGCCCAGAUGGGAUUAGCUAGUAGGUGGGGUAACGGCUCACCUAGGCGACGAUCCCUAGCUGGUCUGAGAGGAUGACCAGCCACACUGGAACUGAGACACGGUCCAGACUCCUACGGGAGGCAGCAGUGGGGAAUAUUGCACAAUGGGCGCAAGCCUGAUGCAGCCAUGCCGCGUGUGUGAAGAAGGCCUUCGGGUUGUAAAGCACUUUCAGCGGGGAGGAAGGCGGUGAGGUUAAUAACCUUGUCGAUUGACGUUACCCGCAGAAGAAGCACCGGCUAACUCCGUGCCAGCAGCCGCGGUAAUACGGAGGGUGCAAGCGUUAAUCGGAAUUACUGGGCGUAAAGCGCACGCAGGCGGUCUGUCAAGUCGGAUGUGAAAUCCCCGGGCUCAACCUGGGAACUGCAUUCGAAACUGGCAGGCUAGAGUCUUGUAGAGGGGGGUAGAAUUCCAGGUGUAGCGGUGAAAUGCGUAGAGAUCUGGAGGAAUACCGGUGGCGAAGGCGGCCCCCUGGACAAAGACUGACGCUCAGGUGCGAAAGCGUGGGGAGCAAACAGGAUUAGAUACCCUGGUAGUCCACGCUGUAAACGAUGUCGAUUUGGAGGUUGUGCCCUUGAGGCGUGGCUUCCGGAGCUAACGCGUUAAAUCGACCGCCUGGGGAGUACGGCCGCAAGGUUAAAACUCAAAUGAAUUGACGGGGGCCCGCACAAGCGGUGGAGCAUGUGGUUUAAUUCGAUGCAACGCGAAGAACCUUACCUGGUCUUGACAUCCACAGAACUUUCCAGAGAUGGAUUGGUGCCUUCGGGAACUGUGAGACAGGUGCUGCAUGGCUGUCGUCAGCUCGUGUUGUGAAAUGUUGGGUUAAGUCCCGCAACGAGCGCAACCCUUAUCCUUUGUUGCCAGCGGUUAGGCCGGGAACUCAAAGGAGACUGCCAGUGAUAAACUGGAGGAAGGUGGGGAUGACGUCAAGUCAUCAUGGCCCUUACGACCAGGGCUACACACGUGCUACAAUGGCAUAUACAAAGAGAAGCGACCUCGCGAGAGCAAGCGGACCUCAUAAAGUAUGUCGUAGUCCGGAUUGGAGUCUGCAACUCGACUCCAUGAAGUCGGAAUCGCUAGUAAUCGUAGAUCAGAAUGCUACGGUGAAUACGUUCCCGGGCCUUGUACACACCGCCCGUCACACCAUGGGAGUGGGUUGCAAAAGAAGUAGGUAGCUUAACCUUCGGGAGGGCGCUUAC